GAAAGUUCCCGUCGCCGACGUUAUGUUGGUCCGUAGGCUAGAGUGCCACCGUCACCGGCGGUGUUUGUCCGUCCAAUGUUCCGCGUUCUCUAGAAUCCCCAAUUCUGGCAUAGCAACUGGAUUUUAGGCCACCGUUCGUCGGAGCUCAAGAUCAUCGCAUGCCUUCUGGACUUUGGGGGUUUUCACUGUGGCCAGUCAAUAACGGUUAGGCUUUCUUGGCCUGAGAUGUUGGUUGUUGCCGGCGUCCGUUCAAGGGCACUUAUGGUGUCGAUGAUGGCUAGGGUUUCCUAUGCUGAGACUCUAACAGACUUUGAUGGGUGGUGAUUGCUUUUAUCUACGAUUAUCGAUGACUAUGGGUGUCUUCAUAUGAGAUGUUCUUGAUUUGAAUUUUGAAACCGUGAGUUCGCUUAUCUGUUUUCUUUGUUGGCUAGGAUUUCUGAAGACCACGUAUAUUGUAU
RNAcentral lists this long non-coding RNA (458 nucleotides) under Helianthus annuus (common sunflower). RNAcentral's name for it is "sRNA HanXRQr2_Chr09g0380511". Lineage: Eukaryota; Viridiplantae; Streptophyta; Magnoliopsida; Asterales; Asteraceae. The record is from RNAcentral.